CACCUCUCAAGCGUAGCUUGGUCUUGGUCCACGCCCGCGAGGGCCGGUCCGAAAACGAGCGGCGGUCCGGUGGGACUUCAAGCGCAGUAAAUUUCAUCGCUUCAAGAUCCCCUCGGGCCCGCCGGAACCUCUACAUUUCAAU
This 142-nucleotide unclassified non-coding RNA is filed under the name uncultured Lecanorales. Its description in RNAcentral is "sequence contains ITS2". The record is from RNAcentral. Lineage: Eukaryota; Fungi; Ascomycota; Lecanoromycetes.